RNAcentral lists this ribosomal RNA (231 nucleotides) under Enterobacter sp. EC_50. RNAcentral describes it as "partial 16S ribosomal RNA". It matches the Rfam family "Bacterial small subunit ribosomal RNA", at positions 1012 to 1243 of the family's 1533-position model. Lineage: Bacteria; Pseudomonadati; Pseudomonadota; Gammaproteobacteria; Enterobacterales; Enterobacteriaceae. The record is from RNAcentral. RNAcentral also lists the same sequence under 1 other name.
UGGUGCCUUCGGGAACUCUGAGACAGGUGCUGCAUGGCUGUCGUCAGCUCGUGUUGUGAAAUGUUGGGUUAAGUCCCGCAACGAGCGCAACCCUUAUCCUUUGUUGCCAGCGGUUUGGCCGGGAACUCAAAGGAGACUGCCAGUGAUAAACUGGAGGAAGGUGGGGAUGACGUCAAGUCAUCAUGGCCCUUACGAGUAGGGCUACACACGUGCUACAAUGGCGCAUACAAA